This 544-nucleotide ribosomal RNA is filed under the name Candidatus Glomeribacter gigasporarum. RNAcentral describes it as "bacterial LSU rRNA". It matches the Rfam family "Bacterial large subunit ribosomal RNA", at positions 943 to 1492 of the family's 2925-position model. Lineage: Bacteria; Pseudomonadati; Pseudomonadota; Betaproteobacteria; Burkholderiales; Burkholderiaceae. The record is from RNAcentral.
GCCAUAGCAAACUCCGAAUACCGAAGAGUGGAAUCACGGGAGACAGACAUCGGGUGCUAACGUCCGGUGUCAAGAGGGCAACAGCCCAGACCGUCAGCUAAGGUCCCAAAGAUUGGCUCAGUGGGAAACGAAGUGGGAAGGUCGAAACAGUCAGGAGGUUGGCUUAGAAGCAGCCAUCCUUUAAAGAAAGCGUAAUAGCUCACUGAUCGAGUCAUCCUGCGCGAAAGAUGUAACGGGGCUUAAGCCAGUCACCGAAGCUGCGGAUGCAAGCGUGCUUGCAUGGUAGGAGAGCGUUCCGUAGGCCGGAGAAGGCGCAUUGAGAAGUGCGUUGGAGGUAUCGGAAGUGCGAAUGCUGACAUGAGUAACGAUAAAGGAGGUGAAGAGCCUCCUCGCUGUAAGCCCAAGGUUUCCUGCGCAACGUUCAUCGGCGCAGGGUGAGUCGGCCCCUAAGGCGAGGCAGAAAUGCGUAGCUGAUGGGAAGCAGGUGAAUAUUCCUGCACCAUCGUAAGAAUGCGAUGAGGGGACGGAUCACGGAAGGUUGUCC